CUGAAGAUAUAGGGUUUGGGAAUGCGUCACAACGGCGUAUGACCAACCCUUACUCUUUCAUCCACACACACCUUUGUGCACCAUGGGAACGAAAAGUUCCCCUUUCCACAUAAAUACCAAGUUAUAUGCAUGUUUUUGUAACACUCUACGGAGUAAUGUA
RNAcentral lists this unclassified non-coding RNA (160 nucleotides) under uncultured Geastrum. RNAcentral's name for it is "sequence contains ITS1". The record is from RNAcentral. Lineage: Eukaryota; Fungi; Basidiomycota; Agaricomycetes; Geastrales; Geastraceae.